This 449-nucleotide ribosomal RNA is filed under the name uncultured bacterium. RNAcentral's name for it is "partial 16S ribosomal RNA". It matches the Rfam family "Bacterial small subunit ribosomal RNA", at positions 29 to 523 of the family's 1533-position model. The record is from RNAcentral.
AGCGAACGCUGGCGGCAGGCCUAACACAUGCAAGUCGAACGGACCUUUCGGGGUUAGUGGCGGACGGGUGAGUAACACGUGGGAACGUGCCUUUAGGUUCGGAAUAGCUCCUGGAAACGGGUGGUAAUGCCGAAUGUGCCCUUAGGGGGAAAGAUUUAUCGCCUUUAAAGCGGCCCGCGUCUGAUUAGCUAGUUGGUGAGGUAAUGGCUCACCAAGGCUACGAUCAGUAGCUGGUCUGAGAGGAUGACCAGCCACAUUGGGACUGAGACACGGCCCAAACUCCUACGGGAGGCAGCAGUGGGGAAUCUUGCGCAAUGGGCGAAAGCCUGACGCAGCCAUGCCGCGUGGAUGAUGGAGGUCUUAGGAUUGUAAAAUCCUUUCACCGGUGAAGAUAAUGACUGUAGCCGGAGAAGAAGCCCCGGCUAACUUCGUGCCAGCAGCCGCCGUAA